Molecule: ribosomal RNA, 292 nt
Filed under: uncultured bacterium
Lineage: Bacteria
Also listed under: 1 other name
Description: partial 16S ribosomal RNA
Source: RNAcentral
GGACUACCGGGGUAUCUAAUCCUGUUUGCUCCCCACGCUCUCGCGCCUCAGUGUCAGUAUCUGUCCAGGUAGCCGCCUUCGCCACUGGUGUUCCUUCCGAUCUCUACGCAUUUCACCGCUACACCGGAAAUUCCACUACCCUCUACAGUACUCCAGUUGAGCAGUUUCGCUUGCAGUUCCCAGGUUAAGCCCGGGGAUUUCACAAACAACUUACUCAACCACCUACGCGCCCUUUACGCCCAGUAACUCCGAUUAACGCUUGCACCCUCUGUAUUACCGCGGCGGCUGGCAC